RNAcentral lists this ribosomal RNA (1428 nucleotides) under uncultured bacterium. RNAcentral's name for it is "16S ribosomal RNA". It matches the Rfam family "Bacterial small subunit ribosomal RNA". The record is from RNAcentral.
AUGAACGCUGGCGGCGUGGAUAAGGCAUGGNGCNUNCGAUCGGUCUGCCUUCGGGCAGAUACGGAGCGGCGAACGAGCUAGUAACACGUAGGUAUUUACCCUAUACUCAGGGAUAACCAACCGAAAGGUUGGCUAAUACCUGAUGGUCUUUCCAGUUUUACUGGAAAGUAAAGGGCAACCGGUAUAGGAAAAGCCUGCGUCCUAUCAGCUUGUUGGUAGGGUAACGGCCUACCAAGGCUAUGACGGGUAGGGGGUGUGAGAGCGCGACCCCCAGCGAGGGCACUGAGACACGGGCCCUACUCCUACGGGAGGCAGCAGCCGAGAAUCUUGGUCAAUGGGCGCAAGCCUGAACCAGCGACGCCGCGUGCGGGAAGAAGGUCUUCGGAUUGUAAACCGCUUUUCUCCGGGAAGAACUUCGGUGACGGUACCGGAGGAAUAAGAGGGUGCUAAUUCUGUGCCAGCAGCAGCGGUAAUACAGAACCCUCAAGCGUUAUCCGGAAUUACUGGGCGUAAAGGGUGUGUAGGCGGCAAGAUAAGUCUGGCUUUAAAAUUCAGGGCUUAACCCUGAAAUCGGCUAGAAACUAUCUUGCUAGAGGACAUCAGGGGGUACCGGAACGCACGGUGUAGGGGUGAAAUCCGUUGAUAUCGUGCGGAACACCGAAAGCGAAGGCAGGUACCUGGGAUGUUCCUGACGCUGAAACACGAAAGCGUGGGGAGCAAAAAGGAUUAGAUACCCUUGUAGUCCACGCCCUAAACGAUGAGUGCUAGCUGCCGGGAGUGUCGACCCUUUCGGUGGCGAAGCCAACGCGUUAAGCACUCCGCCUGGGAAGUACAGCCGCAAGGCCGAAACUUAAAGGAAUAGAUGGGGGCUCACACAAGCGGUGGACCAUGAGGCUUAAUUCGUCAACAAGCGAGGAACCUUACCAGGGCUAGACAGCCGGCUGAAACUCCGAAGAAAUUCGGAGCCUCCGCAAGGACAGCCGGGUCAGGUGCUGCAUGGUUGUCGUCAGCAGGUGUCGUGAGACGCUCCCUUAAAUGGGGUAACCUGCGCAACCCUUAUCCUGUGUUUCAUGUGUCACAGGAAACUGCCGUGGUAUACACGGAGGAAGGUGGGGACGACGCCAAAUCAGCAUGGCCCUUGACGCCCUGGGCUGCACUCGUGGUACAAUGGCGAGUACAAAGGGUUGCGAAGCCGUAAGGCGGAGCUAAUCCCUUAAAACUCGCCCCAGUUCGGAUCGAGGUCUGCAACCCGACCUCGUGAAGCCGGAAUCGCUAGUAAUCGCAGAUCAGCCAUGCUGCGGUGAAUACGUUCCUGAGCCUUGUACUCACCGCCCGUCAAGCCAAGCGAGCUGGGAACGCCUGAAGAUUCAGCAUUAGCUGGAUUUAGGGCGGGCUCAGUGAGAGGGGCUAAGUCGUAACAAGGUAACC